Molecule: long non-coding RNA, 785 nt
Filed under: Phascolarctos cinereus (koala)
Lineage: Eukaryota; Metazoa; Chordata; Mammalia; Diprotodontia; Phascolarctidae
Description: lncRNA (ENSPCIG00000029483.2)
Source: RNAcentral
CUCUCUCCCCAGGGACCCCACCAGAGAUGUCUAUGCUCCAGUGACCAUGCUUUGUGGCUGGCCCUUCUUGGCCUAAGAUUCACUUCCUGCUGUUCUGUCUGGGCGCCAAUGAGGAGAAAGGGUGAAGGCGUUUAUAGAUGUGCCACCUGCCUCAGAGCCCAGCACCCUGGGAGAGAGGGAGCAAGAUGAACAUAGAUGAUUACGAGAACGUUAGCCUAGGGAAGCCAUCACCUUGGCCGCUUGGACAGUUUCUCAGGAUAGAGCCGCGUCCAGCCCACAAGACUCCAAGGAUGGUCCGGGUAACCCUGGUUCUCCUGACUCUGGCCUUGCUGGCCUCCCUCACUGCUAUCAUCAUUCUUUAUUUCCAGGUAGAGACAUGCACAGGAAAAGAGGAAGCCCAGCGGAAGGCUUACCUGGAUAAUAUUACCACCCUGACUUCAGAGAUGCAGAUGUUAAGAAGUCGUCUGGAAAACCCUAGGGUUCAGACGUUAGAGACCAAGAAGACUGGGAGUGGCCUGGAAAAUGUCACAGCAUCUAGUGCUGUCAUGGAAGGGUUAAAAGGUUAUUUGGAGACCAUUACUGGCCUCCCUGUCAGCAUCCAUCAGGUACAGACCAGGGCCUCUGGAGUGAACCCUGAGAUACCAGAGGAGGCCCGAGAGUUUGAGAGGGUCCUGAACCACCUGGAGGCCCCAUUGAGGAGGCCCUGGAGUUUGGAGAGAUCACUGAGACACCUGGAGCCCACGUGGAGAAGGUCUCAGCAACUGUUGAAGUCCAAACAGAUGUGA